Passer domesticus (house sparrow) is the source of this 1640-nucleotide long non-coding RNA. RefSeq lists it as uncharacterized. Lineage: Eukaryota; Metazoa; Chordata; Aves; Passeriformes; Passeridae. The transcript is spliced from 3 exons. The record is from RefSeq and is a predicted model, not a curated record.
CUAACUCCCAGCACCACAUUUCCAUCUGAAUGCAGCCACUCCAGCAGGGAACCACUGCCUUCCCUAAAGCUGGGCUGCAGUUCAGCCCACAAUCUGCUCACACCCAGACAAGGAGUCUGCAAGAAACCCGGGAUCUCUGGAAUAUGGAAUUCCACAUCUGCUCACUCAGCACCUCGGGCUCCUGCCAGCCAAGCCCACCCUGAGCAGGCAGCAGCGGCAGAUGAACGGGAGGGGAGGGUGGUGCAGUUUAUGACAAAGUUUCUGCAUUCAUCAGCCACGAGGGAGCUCUUUGGGGAAGUGCUGAACAGGAAAAUGCCACAUGGCCAUUGACAGAAUCCCAGUGCUGAGGAAAAUGCAAAUUCCUCUCUUGUGCAGGAAGAAUGCAGCAAUCUGAGGAUCUGAUGUUGGGUGGAAGGAAAAGGAGAAGAGGAGCAAAAAGGAAAGAUUCACAGAAGGAAAUGCUUUAAAUGUGCUUUACCUCAGCCAUGCAUGUACCUGGUGCCACCUCAAAAGUUUCUAUAUAAGAAGUCACCCAAUGAACAGCUCUCUCCUUGCCCUGUUCUGCCCUGCAUCUCUGCAGAUGGGCUUGAAGGGAACAGGGAAACUCAUCCUCAGCACUUCCUUCCCAACAUGAGGGAAAAAGGAGCCAAUGAUGAUGAGAGGGAUGAAGUAAAGCCAAUUCCAGGUGUCACCUGUGGCAUCAUUUGUCUGGAAACAGAAUAAAAGGAGGAGUGGGGAAGUGCCUGGGGCAAUUUUACAUUUAGGGUUUAAAUUUAGGGGCUGUUCUUCAGCUCUCAUCUGGUCAAUCAAACAGCUCUGGUUGCAGGAAGCAGACCCCAUCCAGGGAGGGCUCAAUGGGUCCCUUCCAGCUCAGCACAUUCCAUGGUUCUGUGAGGCUGGGAAUGCUGUCAGCAAGCCAAGGGGGGCUGGAGAGCCCAUGGGGGGGUGAGCUGGAGGAAGGAACAGAUGGGAGAAGGGAAAACCACAUAAACAUGCAAAGGGAGUGCAGCAGGUUCACUGCUGCCAAACGAUCGUUUAUCAUUUAUUUCUCCAUUUGAAGCCCAAACUUGGCCACAGAUCCACAAUUCCAUGCCAUGAUCAAAGCCCUUAAAAACGAAAUGUGUUGAAAUACAAUCAAUUACCCUCCCUUCCCUGAGCAUUUGCUGGGUUGCCUCCUGCUCAGGGCAGGGCAGGGCAGGGCCUGGCUCUGUUUGCUCUGCCUGGCUUACAAGGAUCCAGGACAAACUCCCCUUUGGAUAUGGUGACAAACACCAGGCAAAAGUGGUGACAAAGUGCUCCUGAGAAAGCAGAGCCUCCUUGGAUGUGCAGCACCUUUCCCAGCGCUCCCAGGUGUGAGAGAUGCGCAAUGCGAUGGUUGACUCUCACAAUUAAAAGGCAAAUAUCCUGUAUAUAUGUUAGAAGAAGUAUUAUAGAUUUAUAGUUAUUGUUUUAUAGAUUUAUAGUUAUGUUUUAUCACAAUUAAAAGGCAAAUAUCAUGUAUAUAUGUUUGGAGAAGUUUUAUAGAUUUAUAGUUAUGUUUUACCCCCCCUUGCAUUGUUAUCAGGGUUGCCUGGGUUUGGGACAUUCAGGCAGGGUUGGCUCGUUACUAUGGCAACAGCUGACCUCCAAAAAAGAUGUUG